Molecule: ribosomal RNA, 580 nt
Filed under: Salmonella enterica subsp. enterica serovar Newport
Lineage: Bacteria; Pseudomonadati; Pseudomonadota; Gammaproteobacteria; Enterobacterales; Enterobacteriaceae
Description: partial 23S ribosomal RNA
Rfam family: Bacterial large subunit ribosomal RNA
Source: RNAcentral
GAUGCCCUGGCAGUCAGAGGCGAUGAAGGACGUGCUAAUCUGCGAUAAGCGCCGGUAAGGUGAUAUGAACCGUUAUAACCGGCGAUUUCCGAAUGGGGAAACCCAGUGUGAUUCGUCACACUAUCAUUAACUGAAUCCAUAGGUUAAUGAGGCGAACCGGGGGAACUGAAACAUCUAAGUACCCCGAGGAAAAGAAAUCAACCGAGAUUCCCCCAGUAGCGGCGAGCGAACGGGGAGGAGCCCAGAGCCUGAAUCAGCAUGUGUGUUAGUGGAAGCGUCUGGAAAGGCGCGCGAUACAGGGUGACAGCCCCGUACACAAAAGCGCAUGUGCUGUGAGCUCGAUGAGUAGGGCGGGACACGUGGUAUCCUGUCUGAAUAUGGGGGGACCAUCCUCCAAGGCUAAAUACUCCUGACUGACCGAUAGUGAACCAGUACCGUGAGGGAAAGGCGAAAAGAACCCCGGCGAGGGGAGUGAAAAAGAACCUGAAACCGUGUACGUACAAGCAGUGGGAGCACAGGUUUACCUGUGUGACUGCGUACCUUUUGUAUAAUGGGUCAGCGACUUAUAUUCUGUAGCAAG